This 415-nucleotide ribosomal RNA is filed under the name uncultured bacterium. Its description in RNAcentral is "bacterial SSU rRNA". It matches the Rfam family "Bacterial small subunit ribosomal RNA", at positions 355 to 767 of the family's 1533-position model. The record is from RNAcentral.
UGAGGAAUAUUGGUCAAUGGGGGCAACCCUGAACCAGCCAAGUCGCGUGAAGGAUGAAGGUCUUAUGGAUUGUAAACUUCUUUUAUACAGGAAUAAAUUGGGGGCCGUGUCCCCUUUUGCAUGUACUGUAUGAAUAAGGAUCGGCUAACUCCGUGCCAGCAGCCGCGGUAAUACGGAGGCUCCGAGCGUUAUCCGGAUUUAUUGGGUUUACAGGGUGCGCAGGCGGGAUGUUAAGUCGGCGGUGAAAUUUUGCAGCUCAACUGUAAAAGUUCCUGCGCUACUCGCAUCCUAGAGAGUGGAUGAAGGAGGCGGAAGUUGUGGUGUAGCGGCGAAAGGCUUCGAUAGCACGAGGAACGCCGAUUGCGCAGGCAGCUUACUAAGCCACAACGGACGCUCAGGCACGAAGGCGUGGGGA